Molecule: unclassified non-coding RNA, 232 nt
Filed under: Hevea brasiliensis (rubber tree)
Lineage: Eukaryota; Viridiplantae; Streptophyta; Magnoliopsida; Malpighiales; Euphorbiaceae
Source: RNAcentral
GAAAGAUUUGAGAAAAAGACCAGAGAGAAGCAUAUAAACGACAGCGUAUCCCUUCACGCUGUGCAGAAGAGUUCAAGAGUGAAUGAUACAAAGAACAUAGGCGGGGGGAGAACGACGUUUUCCCGGGGGAACCCUCCAGGCUGGAACGACGUUAUCCUUCCCCUCCACCUUCAAGAGGGAGUGAGUGAAGAUUGAAACAGAGAAAGGGAGCAUUAGUUCCCAGAGUCGAGGC